RNAcentral lists this ribosomal RNA (158 nucleotides) under uncultured bacterium. RNAcentral describes it as "partial 16S ribosomal RNA". It matches the Rfam family "Bacterial small subunit ribosomal RNA", at positions 355 to 509 of the family's 1533-position model. The record is from RNAcentral.
UGAGGAAUAUUGGUCAAUGGGGCGAGAGCCUGAACCAGCCAAGUCGCGUGAGGGAAGACGGUCCUACGGAUUGUAAACCUCUUUUGUCGGGGAGCAAUAAAGCGUACGCGUACGCAGAUGCGAGUACCCGAAGAAAAAGCAUCGGCUAACUCCGUGCC